Molecule: microRNA precursor, 165 nt
Filed under: Ectocarpus siliculosus
Lineage: Eukaryota; Phaeophyceae; Ectocarpales; Ectocarpaceae
Description: miR8627 stem-loop (esi-MIR8627)
Source: miRBase by way of RNAcentral
CCGCCCUGAAGCGCCAGCCGCGCGACGCAAGCCGCAAUCGAAAAGGUAAGCCAGCGCGACAAGCAACUGAAUCAACGGGGUUGUCCAUCUCGUUGACCGUUGCUUGUCAGUCUGGCUUACCUUUUCGAUUGCGGGUGAUGUCGCGUGGCUGGCGCCCCAGGGCGG